UCUUCUCAUCUUCUCACGCGUCGAAACCUAAAAGCCAUCGUCCGCCUUCGUCUUCUUCUCGCCCUGUCGUGCCCGCCAGCCGCUACAGUCGUCGCUUCCACCGCCACCGCUUUCUUCUUCUUCUUCUCGCCUUGUCGUGCCCAACCCGUGAGCUGCCCAAUUAGGCCACGCCGGAGCGUUGGAGGAUAUUGGACUUGGAAUAAUGUUUGGAGAUGAAUCAAUAAAUCAAUUUACAUGGUAUAUCUCUUAUUGUCUUUGAUGUCAUGAUGCACUUUUAAUUUUUUUACAAUUUCGUUUGUAGGUACUGAAUACUGACAAUUAUGAAAUUAGAGCAUUAUCACAUUGGAGAGAACUUUUAGAAAAUGUGCUAUUUUUUCAUUAGUUAAAAUUUAAUUGUACUUGUAAGUGUUAUCCGUGUAGUAAAUAUUUAGUUGUGAUAUAAGAAGUAACUUUUUCUUUUAUAAAUGAUUAUUUUUAUCAGCAAACUAUUCUUCAAUGAAGACCAGUGAUAUGGAAAAAAGUUGGAUUCAUUCAAAGAACAAGAAUUCAGAAGAAUAUAGGAAAAAAGUUGUUGAAUUUUUAGAGUUAGCUUACAAAGACAAGACUGAAGAUAGCAAAAUUUAUUGCCCAUGUUUUGAUUGCAAGAAUCAUUAUUUGUCUCUAAGGUAGAUGUUAGGAUGCAUAUUAUUGUUAGAGGCUUUUAUAACAAAUAUAGAGUUUGGGUUUACCAUGAGGAAUCUUACAAUUCUCAACAAACAACCUCAUCUUAUGGAGGUACAAGUGAUAUGAAAGAGAAGAUGAUCUGAACGAAAUUGUGCACAAAAUUAUUUUUUAGCAUAUUUUAAUAUCCAAAAAUGAUGCAUUUUUGGAACCUCUAACAUAGUUUUGGAAAUUUUGAUUUUUGGAGUUUCUUUAUCUGGUUAUGAAAGACCAAACUACAUAAAAAUUUGUUUUGAUUUGUCUCUGGUACUGCAACUAGUUGGUAAAGAUGCAUUUGCAGAAACAGAUAAGAUUACCUUGGAGACUGCUAAUCUUCUGUGUGAAGAUUAUCUUGCCUAGAAUGCAUUUACUCCAUAUGAAAAGUUCUACCCAUUCUACAAAUCAGUUUGGACGAUGCGUAACAUUAUUCACUUCAACACUUUGGCGAAUCAGGUACUCAUCUGCUCUAUUCUUUAUGAUCUAUUGUUUUGAUUAUUAGCUUAUCCGUGUUGCUCUGAUUUGAUGCUCAAUUUUGACCCCAACAUUAGUCAGUUAACCUCCGAAUAUAAUAGUGCCCUUUCAUUAUCAGACUGACAUGUAACUUCAUGUGCUAGUAACAUUGAAGUAUUGUCAAGUUUAAUCAACAUCUUAUUACAUUAUUAACGGUUUUAUCCUGUGAUGGAAUAUGACAUAUAGGUCAGAAGCCCCCAAGAGAUCACUCAUCCUAAAAUUGCACCACAUGGAAUGUGACUUCAAGGUGAUGAGCUUCCUAUGAGAUCACCCAUUCUGAAAUUGCACCAUCCCAAGCACACUUAUAACUAGAAAGUUCUUAUAUAGAAAUGAACCAAUUCUAUCAAAAGACGUGUCAUUUUAGAGAAUUCAUACAUGUACAAUCCAUUUAACUCAAGUCACACCAAUGGGCCAGUCCCACCUUUCUAGUUUUUGUGUGUUCUAGGUUUUGUUCCUACUAGAAAUAUGUUAGAAGCCACCUUGCCCAAGCUCUUUGUUUUGAGGGUCACUUCUCACCCUCCUCUGACCGUAUCAUUAAUUGACUCACAUGCAUUUGUGGGAUAGAUAAUUCAGCUUAUGAUAUAUUUUACCAUUUACAUGAAAGCAUUGACCAGCUAUCAUAUCCAACUACUAGUCCAAAAUACUUGGGCUAAGCUAAAAUUAAUAGUAGAGCCGCUCAUCUAAAUUUAUGAAGAUUUUUUCAUCAAUCCACAACUCACAAGAUAAUUUGAAUUCUCGCAAGAUUUUCUAUUACAAUCAUAUAUUGGUCUCUUGUUUCGCUUUUCAACUAGUAGUCCAAGACUUCUAGACUACUUCCUGUUUUAAAUCUCGUGGAUCAAGAUUUACAAUUGUUGUAUAUUUUGUUAAUUUUUGACUAGGUCGUAGAGAGACAAGCAGGUUCUGAUGGUCAAAAGAUCACUUAUGGUGUCAUUAAGCAUCGAUUGGGUGACCUCUUCUAUCGAUUAGUGUAAGUAGUAGACCUUUAAGAUCCUAUUUGUGCAAGUUGGUCGUAAAGUUGCUGCUAAUCGAAGGCUCGAUUCUGUUGUUUAAAGUUUGAAGACCUCGAAGGUGAGGAAGCUCUUGAUAUGUACAAUAUUUUUUAUUUAGGUUGUAGAUAAUAUUAUUUCACAUGUAUCAGGAUUGGGUAAUCAACAGGCACAUUGGUAGUUGUUUUCAUAAGAUCUUUUUUGGUUUUAUUAAUAAUUUUGACAAUAUAAUGUACAUAUGUUUAUGUUGUAAAUAAAUCUAUUUUGCACGUGCAACAACUUGAAAGACACAAAGGACAAACACAUGAACCAGAUGAAGAGGUUUGUUUAAGUUAGGGAUGUUUGUGUUGUAUAUAUAUAUAUAUAUAGUUACAAGAAAGAGAAUUAUGUGUUAGAUGAUGAGAUUUCUUAUUGAACAGUUUUGUUUAUUGAUUUUUCUAAACAGUAUAUAUUAUAAAUCAUCUUUAUCUUUAAUAAAAGUUUUUUUAAUGUUCAGGAUUAUGAUGAAGAAAGAUUAUAGAAGUUAUCUCUAGAUCACGAGGAGUUGUUCUUUAGGCUUUCUCUUAUGUAACUUU
Molecule: long non-coding RNA, 2770 nt
Organism: Zingiber officinale
Lineage: Eukaryota; Viridiplantae; Streptophyta; Magnoliopsida; Zingiberales; Zingiberaceae
Exons: 3
Source: RefSeq, a predicted model, not a curated record